Molecule: RNA transcript, 2768 nt
Organism: Setaria italica (foxtail millet)
Lineage: Eukaryota; Viridiplantae; Streptophyta; Magnoliopsida; Poales; Poaceae
Exons: 3
Source: RefSeq, a predicted model, not a curated record
GCCAAGCCAAGGCGCACGCACGCACGCACGCACGCAUCUGCCCUUCCGUUCCGUUCCCCACUCCAAGCUGCUGGCAGAUUUCUCUCCACGCUGCCGGCUGCUGUCCUUCGCUAAUCAUGCCGAGGAAAAGCGGGGAGGAGAAGAGACUUGCGCUGACAAGUUGGUGGCGGCGAGCGGGCGCCGGCACCACGGAACGGUGCGUGCCUGGCAUCGACGGCCAGGGGACGCCAAGGCUUCCGAUUCGUCGUGGCAAGAGCCAGGAGCACGUACGGGCUGGCAGCUGAAGUGGAUGGGCGGGGCGAGCGGCCGGCAGCUCGGCCGUCGCCGUCGCGGCCGUUCGCGUGCACCUCGUUCGCCCGUCGUUGCAUUUAUAUCGAUGGGCGCCAAGGAAGAUGGCUGGUUGGUUGUUGCAGACUUGCAGUGCUAGCUAGCUGCAGGGGAUUUGCGUGCGCACGUCAUGAGAUGAGACUCCAGUUGGAUGGAAGAGCCGCAGCAGAAUAUAUGCGCGCGUCAUGGGAAUGACUGGGUUGGCAUGGCCGCCCGCGGAGGCGGACCGAUCGGCGGUGUCGUGACGAGUGACGGUGUCCAGGUGCACCUCCUCCGAUCCUAUAUACCCUAUGUCUAAAUGCAUAAUAAUAUUUAUGUAUUCGAGCGGUUGAUGAACUGCGACAUGCAUGUACGGCAGUACGGUUUUCCUUAUCUCUAAUCCUAUGACUCGAGCUUACUCACAAGUAGUUUUAUCUAGGCAUUUGUUUAUUGGUGCUAGCUAUAAACUCCGUACUUCGCAGCGUGCUUGAUUCAUUGCAUGUCAACUUAAGGUCACACAAAGUGAUGGAGAGAACAGAUCAUCGGUGCGCAAAAAGGAGUGCUGAAUUCUGUGAGCUGAAUUGAAGUGCAUUUUUGAAAUCUGAAUUCUGUGAGCGCUCAUCUAUUUGUCAGCCUGGGUCAAACAAAUUACUAUUUAUUUUAGCUUUUCUACGUACAUAGUUUUUGUUACGUAUCUAAACAUAAUAUAUAUAGAUGCAUAGUAAAAUCUAUGUACCUAAAAAAGUUAAAAUGAAUUGUAAUUAAUUUGGGAUGGAGGGAGGCGUGCAGUACCUUUUCACAAAAGGGAGAAAAUAGCAAGGCGCGCGUGCUCAGCUUUCUACGAGAAACUUUGUCAAAAAAAAAUGGAGCUGCCUGUAUGUUUUGUACCCUAACGAUCUUUAGCACACUUGGAGGCAACACACACCAAGAGACCGUUGGGUACGGUCUUCACCCGACAGCUAGGAACGCAAUUGGGUAUGCAAUGGGUAGUUUUUGGGGCAAACCCCUUAUUUGGAUCAUUUCGUUCCACUUUUCUUGCAUUUCUGAAUUACUAGUUCGUUUUUGAUAAGUUUUUCGGUCAACCAAAUGCACGCGAGCUUCUCUUAUUCUGGUGCUCUACUAUUAGUAGUCCGCAGUGCAGUGAAGUUGCUCAGCCCACUUUAUUAAUUAUAUAAUUUUUUGUUGAUAGCCUGUUUAGAAUCUUAUUGAAGAGCAUGCCUCCAUUAUCCGUCUCCUAUAGAAGUCGUAGAAUUCGAUGCGUGCACGCGACUCUAUCGUGCCCGUGCUGCCUAGUGCGUGCAAUUGAUAAUCGCACUAACCAUAGCAUUGUUAUACCUACGCUUAACUACCCGGAAUCGGCAAUUUCUUCAGGAAAGGACAGGCUUCAAAGGAGUAGGCCAUAGAGGAGUGAACGAUAUGAUGAGAGGCGGAUCCAAGGCCCGGCGAGCCGGGGCGCCUGCCCGGGCUCCAUGAUGAGCGCCUGUGGACCUUCCUCAUAGGUCAGCCCGGGCAAAGAAAAGCGACCGCUGGCAGCCCAACUCAAAUACUCUCACUUCAGCCCAGCUGCCCAGGCUCCCCAGAAACUCUAGGUCCGCCACUGCUCCCUCUCGCUCUCACCAUCACUCCGGCCUUGCAUUUCAUUCUCUGUUUACUUUCAGAACGAUCCUCCUUUGGUUUUAUUUUUUACGAGUGAGAAAUACUUUGAUUUCAUUUUCAUUGUGCCAGUUCUAGUGAAGCCUGCACAAGAGCUCAUCCUACAAUGGAAGCUUUUUCUUAGCCGCCGCUUUAACAAGGUUAUUAAGAGCCUGAUUAAGCACCAGGCUGGACACGCGCUAAGAGCUAUGUGGUUUGCAUAAGGCUCAGUGGUGGGUUUAGGGUUUGUUUGGAUGCCGUGUCUUGUGAAAAACCAGAUUUCGUGGUACAAAAUGCUGGAGGAAGAAAGUCAAGCAGAAGUAUGAUGGCUCGCUCUGAACCAAGCGCAGCGGCAUACAACUGAGUAGCAUGUUCAAGUCUUCAGGCCCAAAGCGCAAAACGGACUGGGCCGUGAGCCUCGCCAGGAUAUGGCUCCCGAACAGGCCCGAAGGAUAAUACAUAAGGCAAACAUGUUCAUGCUAAAAACUCCAAUUAAUGAUUGACUUGCCAUGCGAUGGCCCUGAUUCUGGAGGCUGGUAUUCGUACUAGCUUGGAUGCACAGACUGUAUUACUGUAGAACAUCACUCAAGAAUUCAGAAAAGGGUAUGGACGUAUAUAUGGUACAAGUGUACAAGCACUGGCAUCGACAGAAGCCAGAACCAUGGGCACAGAAAACGGAUAAGAUUCUUCCGCAAAGAUUGACAGCGAAUUCACGGACAACAUAGUACAUAGGAACAGCUGAGGAGCUGUUGAGAGGACAAGGGUGAUUGCUCUUGUUCCCCCGGAAAAUGACUGGACGAAAAUUUCCUGGUCAGAUAGUGACCGAGACA